GACAGAGGGUGCAAACGUUGUUCGGAAUUACUGGGCGUAAAGCGCGUGUAGGUGGCAAGGCAAGUCGGGUGUGAAAGCCCUGGGCUCAACCCAGGAAGUGCACUCGAUACUGCCUCGCUAGAGUCCCGGAGAGGUUGGUGGAACUCUCGGUGUAGAGGUGAAAUUCGUAGAUAUUCGCAAGAACACCAGUGGCGAAGGCGGCUCACUGGCCCGAUACUGACGCUGAGGCACGAAAGCGUGGGGAGCAAACAGG
Molecule: ribosomal RNA, 253 nt
Filed under: uncultured bacterium
Lineage: Bacteria
Description: partial 16S ribosomal RNA
Rfam family: Bacterial small subunit ribosomal RNA
Source: RNAcentral